CAGCAUAAUUUACGUCCUGCUGUAAAUAUGGACAAACAAUAAAGUUGGUAAUAAAGGUGAGCACUAUAUGAGUCGUAGAUGCUCAUAAAGGAUCAUCACACAUAC
Molecule: small nucleolar RNA, 105 nt
Organism: Panicum virgatum (switchgrass)
Lineage: Eukaryota; Viridiplantae; Streptophyta; Magnoliopsida; Poales; Poaceae
Source: RefSeq, a predicted model, not a curated record